Molecule: ribosomal RNA, 439 nt
Filed under: uncultured bacterium
Lineage: Bacteria
Description: partial 16S ribosomal RNA
Rfam family: Bacterial small subunit ribosomal RNA
Source: RNAcentral
CUACGGGAGGCUCCAGUGAGGAAUAUUGCACAAUGGGGGGAACCCUGAUGCAGCAACGCCGCGUGGAGGAUGACGCAUUUCGGUGUGUAAACUCCUUUUAUAUGUCAAGAAAAUGACGGUAGCAUAUGAAUAAGCACCGGCUAACUCCGUGCCAGCAGCCGCGGUAAUACGGAGGGUGCAAGCGUUACUCGGAAUCACUGGGCGUAAAGGACGCGUAGGCGGGUUGGAAAGUCAGGUGUGAAAUCCUACAGCUUAACUGUAGAACUGCACUUGAAACUUCUAAUCUAGAGUAUGGGAGGGGGAGAUGGAAUUAGUGGUGUAGGGGUAAGAUCCGUAGAUAUCACUAGGAAUACCUAAAGCGAAGGCGAUCUCCUGGAACAUUACUGACGCUAAGGCGUGAAAGCGUGGGGAGCAAACAGGAUUAGAUACCCCUGUAGUC